This 253-nucleotide ribosomal RNA is filed under the name uncultured bacterium. RNAcentral's name for it is "partial 16S ribosomal RNA". It matches the Rfam family "Bacterial small subunit ribosomal RNA", at positions 524 to 776 of the family's 1533-position model. The record is from RNAcentral.
UACAGAGGUCCCGAGCGUUAUUCGGAAUUACUGGGCGUAAAGCGCGCGUAGGCGGCAUUGCAAGUCGGGUGUGAAAUCCCCAGGCUUAACCUGGGAACUGCAUUCGAGACUGCAUUGCUAGAGUAUGGGAGAGGGAAGUGGAAUUUCCGGUGUAGCGGUGAAAUGCGUAGAUAUCGGAAGGAACAUCAGUGGCGAAAGCGACUUCCUGGACCAAUACUGACGCUCAUGUGCGAAAGCGUGGGGAGAAAACAGG